GUCGGACACACGGGUCGGGUCGUUGUAGCUGACGUAGCGGAGGACGACGUCGCCGUAGAGUUGAACCUCGGCGAGCUUCAUGCGGUUGUCGAGGAGGACAGGGGGGGAUACGGGGAUGGCGCCGUGGUUGAUUGAGGCGGAGAAGGCUUGGACGGCGUCGGCGACUUCGACGGCGACGGCGCGGACGGCGAGGCCGUGGGCGGCGGAGAAGGCGAAGCAGGUGGAGGCGGAGAAAGUGGGGAUGGAGGCGGUGGAGGGGAGGGAGAUUUUGGGAGAGUAUGGGGCGGAGAAGAGGAAGCAGAGGUCGCCGGAGCGGAGGAGGUAGGAGGCGUGAGAGUGGUUUCCGGUGGAGAGGUCUGAUUUUGCGACGAGCGGCAUGCCGAGGCCCCAGGAGAAGCGGCGUGCGGCGUUGGUGGCGUCGGAGCACCAGAACUCGAUGUGGUGGAACCUUUUCACGGCGAACCGGUCUGAUUUUGGGUUGGACCGGACGAAGCGGUUGAACCCGAGGAGUUUGAACCCGGUUUGGACUUCUUCAGUAGUUGUUGUUUGUUUACCCAUGGUGGAGUGAGUGUUGGGUUUCGGAUGGUGGGGUGGUGGUGGUGUUAUGUAGGAGAAGUGGCGGCGGAGUGACAC
This 633-nucleotide long non-coding RNA is filed under the name Lotus japonicus. RNAcentral's name for it is "long non-coding RNA (LJAP_LNC000299)". The record is from RNAcentral. Lineage: Eukaryota; Viridiplantae; Streptophyta; Magnoliopsida; Fabales; Fabaceae.